This 291-nucleotide long non-coding RNA is filed under the name Corvus moneduloides (New Caledonian crow). RNAcentral describes it as "lncRNA (ENSCMUG00000018957.1)". The record is from RNAcentral. Lineage: Eukaryota; Metazoa; Chordata; Aves; Passeriformes; Corvidae.
CAUUUCAGGAAAGGGAUGGAUUUUACGGUCAGAGAAUGCUAAAAGGUGAGAGGGGGAAGAAAAGCAGGAAUCUGAUCCAGCCGGAGCCCACGAACAGGGUAGGAUGUCCAAGCCGGUAGAGGGGACCUCCGGAGCUGCGGGAAGGACUGCGAGCAAGUGCCUGAGAUCAUCCGCAUCCUAAGGCACCUGGAACGCUGGGAACACGUAACGGACACGCCGGCCCAGUGGCUCCAUCUCAGAGUGACAUUUUCCUGGGCUGCACCUCAUAAAAGCUGGUAACCAGCAAAGAAG